Molecule: ribosomal RNA, 300 nt
Filed under: uncultured Glomus
Lineage: Eukaryota; Fungi; Glomeromycota; Glomeromycetes; Glomerales; Glomeraceae
Description: SSU rRNA
Rfam family: Eukaryotic small subunit ribosomal RNA
Source: RNAcentral
AGCAGCCGCGGUAAUUCCAGCUCCAAUAGCGUAUAUUAAAGUUGUUGCAGUUAAAAAGCUCGUAGUUGAAUUUCGGGGUUAGCAGGUCGGUCGUGCCAUCGGUAUGAACUGGUCUCGCUGAUCCCUCCCUCUUGACGAACUGUGAUGCCAUUAAUUUGGUGUCGCAGGGAAUCAGGACUGUUACUUUGAAAAAUUAGAGUGUUUAAAGCAGGCUCACGCUUGAAUACAUUAGCAUGGAAUAAUGAAAUAGGACGUUUGAUCCUAUUUUGUUGGUUUCUAGGAUUGACGUAAUGAUUAAUA